This 266-nucleotide signal recognition particle RNA is filed under the name Clostridiales bacterium. Its description in RNAcentral is "signal recognition particle sRNA large type". It matches the Rfam family "Bacterial large signal recognition particle RNA". Rfam says of the family: The signal recognition particle (SRP) is a universally conserved ribonucleoprotein involved in the co-translational targeting of proteins to membranes. Archaeal SRP consists of a 7S RNA and homologues of the eukaryotic SRP19 and SRP54 proteins. In most bacteria, the SRP consists of a 4.5S RNA and the Ffh protein (a homologue of the eukaryotic SRP54 protein). Lineage: Bacteria; Bacillati; Bacillota; Clostridia; Eubacteriales. The record is from RNAcentral.
CCGUGCUAGCCGGGGAGUCAGCGGUUCCCUGUACCCGCAAUCCGCUACAGCGGGGGUGAUGCUUUGCCUCAGGCAUUUCUCAAUAGAGCCUGCCCGCCGAUACGUGGCGUUGAAGGCCGAGUCUUGCGCAAUAGGCGCUUGUGAACCGCGUCAGGUUCGGAAGGAAGCAGCGCUAAGCAAGAGUGCUUAUGUGCCGCGAGGGCGCUUGGUUUGAGUUAACGGCGGCGGUAACGUCCGGGGGGAAAUGUCGAGGGUAUCGCGCACGG